UACGAAGGGGGCUAGCGUUGCUCGGAAUUACUGGGCGUAAAGCGCACGUAGGCGGCUCUUUAAGUCGGGGGUGAAAUCCUGGAGCUCAACUCCAGAACUGCCUUCGAUACUGUAGAGCUUGAGUUCGGGAGAGGUGAGUGGAACUGCGAGUGUAGAGGUGAAAUUCGUAGAUAUUCGCAAGAACACCAGUGGCGAAGGCGGCUCACUGGCCCGAUACUGACGCCGAGGUGCGAAAGCGUGGGGAGCAAACAGG
This 253-nucleotide ribosomal RNA is filed under the name uncultured bacterium. Its description in RNAcentral is "partial 16S ribosomal RNA". It matches the Rfam family "Bacterial small subunit ribosomal RNA", at positions 524 to 776 of the family's 1533-position model. The record is from RNAcentral.